This 253-nucleotide ribosomal RNA is filed under the name uncultured bacterium. Its description in RNAcentral is "partial 16S ribosomal RNA". It matches the Rfam family "Bacterial small subunit ribosomal RNA", at positions 524 to 776 of the family's 1533-position model. The record is from RNAcentral.
UACGAAGGGGGCUAGCGUUGCUCGGAAUCACUGGGCGUAAAGGGUGCGUAGGCGGGUCUUUAAGUCAGGGGUGAAAUCCUGGAGCUCAACUCCAGAACUGCCUUUGAUACUGAAGAUCUUGAGUUCGGGAGAGGUGAGUGGAACUGCGAGUGUAGAGGUGAAAUUCGUAGAUAUUCGCAAGAACACCAGUGGCGAAGGCGACUCACUGGCCCGAUACUGACGCUGAGGCGCGAAAGCGUGGGGAGCAAACAGG